UUUCCGCUUUCUUGGUGCGUGCGCGCGUGUCUGUGUUGGUGGAGCAGGGGGAGAAACUUGCAGCGCGUCCACGCCGGCCGCAAUCACGAAAAUAAAAUCCACUCAAAAGGAAUCUGGCGGAGCACGGGAAGGCCAACGUCUCCAGCGACACCGGAGGAAGCGGCUCGGUAAUUGCAGGUGGUUAGCAGCUCUUCAGCAGCUUUACUCCCCCGUCACGCCGUCCUCGCGUGCUGGGCGGGACGCCGUUCUUACGUUAGGUAAGAGGUGACUCAGAUCUGCCGACAGCAGGGGAGUCGACUGGUCCUGUUGAUGUAAAGCAACAAAGAAACGUUACGAAAUGAUGGCAAAUAAUUAGUGUUCAGCCCAGUCACAAUAAGAAAGAGGGUGCCCCCAAAAUCCACUUCUACAAUUGAAAACAUCUGUCCAGAGGCAGCAGCUCGGCCUCUCAAGUGCUCAGUUUGUGCCGGAGCCUCUUUUUAAUUAGAAGGCCGCUCGUCGCUGGCGUUCAGAGGUUGUGAAUGCACGACAGAGGAGCCGUGGCGUCCCAGAUCACAUCAAACCGGGCUCCUCUCCCCGGGCAGCGGCUCCACGGCGGCUCCGGAGACCCACGGACAAUUAAAGGCCGAGAGGCGAAGGCUCCCGCGUGCGUUCCGCGAACAUGCAAAAUGAAUUUAGUUCACAUUUGCCACGAGCGAGAGAGAGAGAGCAAGAGAGAGAGAGAAAACCUCUUUUCUGAUCUCUGUCGGUCCAACGAGGAAACUAGCACACAGACAAAAAGUAUUGAUUUUUUGAUGUUGUUCUUGUUAGCUGAAAUGUGCGCGGAGGCUUCUACAAAUGACCACUUGUUCGACCGAGACUCUUACAAGAACAAGACGAACGCGUCACGUCUUCCUGCAGAAAGACAACGGAAUAAAAACUGUGUUUAGUCCCACCAGCACGUCUCAAGUUGGACCAGCUAUGUGUGUGUAUUUCAUUCUUUUUCAUUCGUAUUUGUUCUCAAAUGUUUGGGUGCACAAAUCAACAUUUUAAAUGAAUAAUAAAUGCGCUCCGCUGAUGAAGAUGAUACCGCGGAUGUUCAAAUGAAUACAAGUAAGUCCGCUGCUACUUCAAAAGGCGAGAAUGCACUAAAUUAUGUUUGAUGACGACCUCCUCUUAAUACAUGUGAAUGCAUAACCUGCCCCGUAGUAAAUCACAAUUAAACAGAUGUCAUUAGACAUUCACAGUUA
Molecule: long non-coding RNA, 1226 nt
Organism: Gasterosteus aculeatus aculeatus (three-spined stickleback)
Lineage: Eukaryota; Metazoa; Chordata; Actinopteri; Perciformes; Gasterosteidae
Source: RefSeq, a predicted model, not a curated record